Molecule: long non-coding RNA, 316 nt
Organism: Drosophila innubila
Lineage: Eukaryota; Metazoa; Arthropoda; Insecta; Diptera; Drosophilidae
Exons: 2
Source: RefSeq, a predicted model, not a curated record
UAUGCUUUAGUUUAAAUAUAUAUCUCGAGCUGUGAGUGCUCAUCAGAGCUCUCAACUUUUAUUUGGUAUUUUUUUGAUCACCAUGUGCUGUUAUAGUCGCUUUUAUAGGGACACUCCCUGUGUCCAGUGCUGCCUUAUCGAUUGCAGUUAUUGCUGUUAUCGAACCAGCUGUGAUGGACCCUGUGGCCCGUGUGCAACUGCGGCGCCCGGUUGCUGUGGCGGUGCGUGCGGAGAUUUGAAUUACAAAUUUUCGUUCUUUGGCCUACAUUUACUAUGAUUAUUCCAAUCUAUCUGACAAACACCAACGAGUUAUAGG